Molecule: ribosomal RNA, 408 nt
Filed under: uncultured bacterium
Lineage: Bacteria
Description: partial 16S ribosomal RNA
Rfam family: Bacterial small subunit ribosomal RNA
Source: RNAcentral
GACGAACGCUGGCGGCGUGCUUAACACAUGCAAGUCGAACGAAGUGGCGAACGGGUGAGUAACGCGUAAUCAACCUGCCCUUCAGAGGGGGACAACAGUUGGAAACGACUGCUAAUACCGCAUACUGAAGGAGGGGAUUGCGUCUGAUUAGCUAGGUGGAGGGGUAAAGGCCCACCAAGGCGAUGAUCAGUAGGCGGUCUGAGAGGAUGAACGGCCACAUUGGGACUGGGACAAGGCCCAGACUCCUACGGGAGGCAGCAGUGGGGAAUCUUCCGAAAUGGAGGGAAGUCUUACGGAGCAACGCCGCGGGGGUGAUGACGGCCUUCGGGUUGUAAAGCUCUGUUAAUCGGGACGCGGUACCGGAAUAGAAAGCCACGGCUAACUACGUGCCAGCAGCCGCGGUAAUUC